This 304-nucleotide ribosomal RNA is filed under the name Hyalomma anatolicum. RNAcentral describes it as "partial small subunit ribosomal RNA". The record is from RNAcentral. Lineage: Eukaryota; Metazoa; Arthropoda; Arachnida; Ixodida; Ixodidae.
CGAAAGCAAAAAAUUAUGGCGGUAUUUUAAGCUUUUCAGAGGAAUUUGCUCUUUAAUGGAUAAAACACCUAAAUCUUACUUAAAUUAGUGCUUUUCAGUUUGUAUACCACUAUUAUAAUAAUAAUUUAUUAUUAUUAUUAAUAUUCUUGCAUUUAGAAGAAAAUUAAGUCAAGGUGCAGCAUAAAUUUAUGAAUGAAGUGAAUUACAUUUCUUUUUAGAAAAAAAAAAUUGAAAUAAGACGUUUAGGAUUUGAUAGUAAAAUUAAAAUACAAAGUUAAUUUGAAUUAGGCUCUAAAAUAUGUAC